Molecule: ribosomal RNA, 255 nt
Filed under: uncultured bacterium
Lineage: Bacteria
Description: partial 16S ribosomal RNA
Rfam family: Bacterial small subunit ribosomal RNA
Source: RNAcentral
UACGGGGGGGAGCAAGCGUUGUUCGGAUUUACUGGGCGUAAAGGGCGCGUAGGCGGUCGUGACAAGUCACUUGUGAAAUCUCCGGGCUUAACUCGGAACGGUCAAGUGAUACUGUCGGACUAGAGUACAGAAGGGGCAACUGGAAUUCUCGGUGUAGCGGUGAAAUGCUUAGAUAUGACAUAGAACACCAAUUGCGAAGGCAGCUUACUACAGGGACAUUGACACUGAGGCACGAAAGCGUGGGGAUCAAACAGG